GAUCCUCUGCUGUACCGCCCACAGGCCGCAGACACACCACAACUAUCUGGAAAUCCUCCUGUGGCAACAGGCCCCGCCUCUGCUUGCAACACGGCCAACACCUCCCUCAAGAAGGAGCAAAGCUGUCUGGAGAUACCUGACAAGGAGGCUGAAGGAGAGAAACAGAAACAGGAUGACGCAGCGGCUGCUGCUGCCGCUGCUGCUGCCGCUGCUGCUGCUGCUGCUGCUGCUGCCUCCCCUUGUCUACCGGAUUCAAACAAAGACCCCACUGCUGCUCCUUCACGGCUGAUGUCAUUGGUGAGGACGAACACAGAGGCCUUUUAGUAAUCAGAAGUUUCUCGGUUUGAUCAAGAGCGCAUCACUGCGUCAUCAGUUUGUGAAUGAGAUAAGGCACUUGACGGCGAUUAAUCCGUAUGAAACUCUUUGUGUCUGUUCAGGUUAACCACACAACAGUGGCAGAGCAGCCACAGACAGUCAUUGUGAAUCAACAGCAGACGUCUUUAGGUGAGUGGCUAAUUAUACUGUCCCUUUAGACAAUGUGAUAUGUUCGGUUUGUCUGUUUGUUUGUUGUGUGUUUUUGUCAGCAGGAUUACUCAAAAAGCUAUGGACGGAUUUGUAUGAUUAAAAAAGAAAUCAAAGAUAGGUAUAUCUAGUUUCAGGAAGGUUUUUUUUGCAAAACUUUACAUUUUGAGUCAUAUCUCAAAACUUGCAUCUCAGAAGAUGGAGAUGCAAAUGCACAUUUAUGGUGAGACAGCAUAUAGGUGGGGGAUUGCUCAGCCCUGUCGGCGGUCUGCACUCUCUGAAUGCUCUUGUGUUUAUAAUUUGUUUUAUCUUUUUAAAUUUAGAAAAAGAAGCAUGGAUUAAUUUUUGUGCUUGACAUCUGAACACAAAAUCGAUUUUCUCUUAAUCCAAAGGUUCAUCACCAAGACCCCCGGGUCCAUCAUCUUGCUGGGGCAGGUCAGUAAAUCAUGUGUGUAUGUAUGUUUGUUUAGGUACUUGUCUGUAUUUGACUGUGUCCACUGUUUCAAGGUUGAUUUCUUCUCCCUGUAUCUUUCCCCACAGCUCCUCUUACUCCUCGGGUUGUCCCACCGGAAGCUGGACUGAAUCCCAGCAGCCCUCUUCCUCCCCCUCCUCAGCAUAUCCAGCGCCUAUUCCACCUCUAUUUCCCUCCCCCCUUUUUCACACAUACCUCUCGGCUCACCAGUCCCACAGCGGUUACCCUCCUGGAUACCCACCUACCACGCCCAUCUGGACUCUCCCAUGCCCCCAGGGUGCCCCCAUCCCUUCCCCCUGCUCCUCUACCUCCACCUCCUCCAUUCCUCCCCUCGGCUCCAAGGACUGGUACUUGCAUCAGAGAAAGAAGAAGGAAAGGUCGCCUCACAGAGGAUCUGCCUACAGACGCUCCUCGUCUCGCUCUAAUUCAAAGUCUUCUAAGUCCAAGUCUUCUCGUUCCUACUCUCACUCCUCAAGCAGGUCCAGAUCCCGUUCGCGAUCCAGAUCCCAAAGCAGAUCAAGGCCCCGCUCACCUUACUCCCAUCAAAGAGAUCCCCACAGCCGCUCUCAUGCCUCUUAUAGCUAUGGCUACAAACGCUCCCCGACACCGUCCUCAUCAUCUUCACCUCACGUUGGUCCCCAAUCCAGGUCCAAGUCGCCAUCGGAUCACCACAAAAACCGCCACCACAGCCGCAGUCACACCAAGAAGUCUGCUUCGAGCAGCUACAGCUCCACGAGGCGAGCAGAAUGCUCAGGGAGGGAAGUGGGAGGCUUCGGGGCGAGUUUAACCGGUUCCCAUUAUACCCAGCCAGCAAAUCAAAAAAGCAGUCAGGAGCUGGACAGGGAGCGCUACCUACAGUGGAAGAAACAGUACAAAGACUGGUGUGAGAAAUAUUUCAGCAGGUAUGUCGGCCACUUCCAUCAGCUGCCUCUUCCCUUCAUCAAUCUUCCUCCUCCUCCUCUGUGGGAAGGAAACAAAUAUCCCCCUCAUGCCAACUUGGACUCUCGCUACCAGAGCGCUGCCUGGAUGGACGGACGCUCCCCUCCAUCACAGUCAUCCAGUGACAGUCGCUCACCUCCAUCUCAUUCCUCAAGUGAAAGCCGCUCCACGCCGUCUCAGUCGUCCAGUGACAGUCGCUCCCCUCCAUCUCAUAUGUCCAACAACAGCCGUUCCCCUCCCUCUCGGUCGUCUAGCGAUGGUCGCUCUACACCGUCCAAAGACAGGACUGAGCCGGGGGCACAUCAACAACUGAAGGACGGUGACCUGCCGUUCACUUUUACAAAGGGCAGUAAGGAGGUGGAAGUCCAAGAAAGAAGCAAUGAUGACAAGCGGGUGAUCGGUAGAAAUCCAGAGGACCUCAGCAUCGUAAAAAAUGAGCAAAGGAGGACAAAGAAACAUGAGGGUGGAAGAGAAGAGGAGUCGACGUCCCGUGAUGCUGUAGACUCAACAGAGGAUACCCGAAAGGAUGAGAGGGGGCACGACACUGGACCACAUGCCCGCAAGGAUGGCACCUCAGUAAGGGACAAGGCGACCUUUCACCCUUCUCUGAAACCAAAUUUAGAAGGAGAGAAAGGGAGGAGAAGAGGUCAAGAUUCAGACUCCAGACAAGAUGUGGAGAGACAGCGCAAACUAAAGUCCAAUAAAGAGGCAGGUAGAAACGAAAAUCCUGGAGGCAGCAAAGCGGCGGUCUUAAGCUCAGAGAAGAUUAGAAAAAGAAAAGGAGAGAACCUGGAGCAAAAGGAAACCCGCAAAAGUGAAUCCCUCGAUCCAUCUGACAGAAAGAAGCCAAAAUCCGAACAGAAAAAGGAAGGUAAAGCAUGGCCGCUGAGAGAGAGGGACAUCUGGGAGGGAAAAAUAACCGUGAAACCACAGAAGAAAAUAAGCAUCAACAUCAACCUGGAUGGGAAAAGGAAGGAGGAGAAAACUGAAACACAGGAGAAUAUCAUAGGAAAAUCAAAGGAGGAAAUGGAGAAUAUUGGUGAUAGAGAAGGGAAGUUACGCAGAGGAGACACCGGGGUUGAAGUUAAUGAAAAGAAGGAAUCCAGCAGAGAAAAGGAAGGUGUGUUUGAAGAAAAAAUAAAACCAGAUGAAGGAGACGCAAAGCAGUUAUUGGACAUCCCUGCCAUCAGAGUUGACAAGAGAGGGAUGUGGGUUAACAUAGCAGCAAAGAAAGAAGAGGUUGUAGGAAAGAAAGCGGAAGGAGAAGAUGAAGACUUUGACUUAUGGCAUAGUGCCCUACUCUCCAAGGAGGAGAAGGAGAGUAAAAAUCAAUGGGAGGAAGCAGGCGGGAUGAAGCCCAGCAAAAGUGAAGAGCUGACAAGAGACGAGAGGAGGAGCACGACUGGAAAAGAGGAGGAAGAAGAGAGAGCAAGGAAAGAAAGUGGAGGCCAAAAUUCUGAGAAUGUGAGGGAAAGCACAUGCGCGGAAAACGCGAGAAACUCGCUGGAGGUGUCGAAGCCAGACGAGGCGCUGAUGGAGAGAGUGAAGAGGUGGAAGGAGGAAGAAGAAGAAGACACAAUGAGGUUCAACUCUCAGAGGAGCAGCAGCGAGAGCCACGAUGACAGCAGCUGCGAGGAUGAGCAGGAGAGGAGGACGGUGGGGAAAAAUCUGGAGGAAUACAUCCAGGAUAGAGUGGCCAAGGCCGAGGAUCAGCUGGUACUCUUACAGGUCCCUCUCUCCAAAUGGGAGAAGGUAGAGUCUGAGGAGGAAGAGCGGAACGAAGAAGAGGUCAAAGCUCAAGAGCCUCUGUCUGUGGUUCUGCCUCCACCAUUAGCGAUCUCAAGCAACAGAGAGACAGAGGGAGAGAGUGAGCAAAAGAGACAGAGGUCAGUUGACGUAAAGAGAGACGGGGACAGAGUGACACUGAGAGGAAUGGAUGGGGAGAAAGGGCAGAGCUUCACUCUGCCCAGUUUAGAAAGAAUUGUGGCUCCCUCUAGUGGCAAAGAUACGAGCGACAGCGCCUUGGGUACAGACAGGGAGAGGGGGAGGGAGAGAGAGAGGCCAAGGGAUAGAAAGAAAGAGACCAAAAGAUCAAAAGAGAGGACCAAUGAGGAAGAAAGGGGGAGGGACAGAGGGAGAGACAGGGGGCACAGCAGCAACGCCUCGGUCCAAAAGAAGAAUCUCCCUUCCUCCGGUCACUCAACGUCAAAGGACAUGGAGAGGAGGGACUGGCAGCGAGGACGCCACCACGAGAAGAGUUCAGACUCCUCACGCCCUGACGGGAAACACAGUGUUAGCAGGGAAAGAAGCUCGAUAAGCAGAGCUGCAGAAUUGCCUGAUAAACAUACACACAAAACAUACAGAGACACAUUACUGGACUCAAAGCGUCAUGACAGCAACCCUCCCCAUGACUACCAUGGUCACCGGUAUCCAGCAGGGAACCGACACCAUGACAGACCUGCAGGGACUCACCACUCCUCACCUUCCCUCUCCCACGGCCAGGGUAAGGAGGGAGUCCCAUUCCCCUCCAGAGUGUGCAGCCCCGGUCGGAAGUUAAUGCAGAACAGAAGUAGAAAUGAGGGCAAGGAAUAUAAGGGGGAGUGGAAGACAAACAACGUGGAUAAAGUGAUAAAAGAAAGCAAAGGGCAGAGAGAGAAGAGAGUAGUGGAGGCGGAGACAGAAGGAGGGAAUCAAUGGCAAGAUGAGGUUCAUAAAAUGUCCGCAGAGACCAAGUGGGAAGGACAAAGGGAGCUGGUGGAGGGAGAGGGGCCCAGCAGCAGCAGCAGCAGCAGCAGCAGCAGCAGCUCAUCAGCAAGCCAUGAGAGCAGCAAGGACGACAGGAGGAAAGAGGGCACGAAGAAACAGAAAAGGGAGACAAGCAAAUCCUCCCCGGAGCUGCUGGAGGAGUGGGAGCUGAAGAAGCACAAGAAGAAGUCAAAGAGAGACAACGACGGGAGGGAGGAGGAGAGUGGAGGAGAGGUGGACGACUGGUGGAAAGAAGUUAUGUCAUCUUGA
Scophthalmus maximus (turbot) is the source of this 4948-nucleotide long non-coding RNA. The record is from Ensembl. NCBI's taxonomy places the organism in Eukaryota, Metazoa, Chordata, Actinopteri, Pleuronectiformes, Scophthalmidae.